ACGCACGCUGGCGGCAUGCCUAACACAUGCAAGUCGAACGAGACCUUCGGGUCUAGUGGCGCACGGGUGCGUCACGCGUGGGAACCUGCCCUUAGGUUCUGAAUAACUCCCCGAAAGGGGUGCUAAUACCGGAUAAUGUCUUCGGACCAAAGAUUUAUCGCCUUUGGAUGGGCCCGCGUUGGAUUAGCUAGUUGGUAGGGUAAAAGCCUACCAAGGCGACGAUCCAUAGCUGGUCUGAGAGGAUGAUCAGCCACACUGGGACUGAGACACGGCCCAGACUCCUACGGGAGGCAGCAGUGGGGAAUAUUGGACAAUGGGCGAAAGCCUGAUCCAGCAAUGCCGCGUGAGUGAUGAAGGCCUUAGGGUUGUAAAGCUCUUUUACCCGGGAUGAUAAUGACAGUACCGGGAGAAUAAGCUCCGGCUAACUCCGUG
Molecule: ribosomal RNA, 432 nt
Filed under: uncultured bacterium
Lineage: Bacteria
Description: partial 16S ribosomal RNA
Rfam family: Bacterial small subunit ribosomal RNA
Source: RNAcentral